This 712-nucleotide ribosomal RNA is filed under the name uncultured Eubacteriales bacterium. Its description in RNAcentral is "bacterial SSU rRNA". It matches the Rfam family "Bacterial small subunit ribosomal RNA", at positions 59 to 780 of the family's 1533-position model. The record is from RNAcentral. Lineage: Bacteria; Bacillati; Bacillota; Clostridia; Eubacteriales.
AACGAUGAAACUUAGUAGACUUCUUCGGAAUGACACUAAGCGAAUUAGUGGCGAACGGGUGAGUAACGCGUGAGUAACCUGCCUUACACAAGGGGAUAGCCUUUGGAAACGAAGAAUAAUACCCUAUAAAACUAUAAAAGCACAUGCUAGAAUGGUCAAAGUGCUAGCGGUGUAAGAUGGACUUGCGUCUGAUUAGCUAGUUGGUGAGAUAAAAGCUCACCAAGGCAACGAUCAGUAGCCGGCUUGAGAGAGUGUACGGCCACAUUGGGACUGAGACACGGCCCAGACUCCUACGGGAGGCAGCAGUGGGGAAUUUUGCACAAUGGGGGAAACCCUGAUGCAGCGACGCCGCGUGAUUUAGAAGGCCUUCGGGUUGUAAAAAUCUUUUGUAUAGGAAGAAAAUGACAGUACUAUACGAAUAAGGUCCGGCUAAUUACGUGCCAGCAGCCGCGGUAAUACGUAAGGACCGAGCGUUGUCCGGAAUCAUUGGGCGUAAAGGGUACGUAGGCGGCUAGAAAAGUUAGAAGUCAAAGGCUAUAGCUCAACUAUAGUAAGCUUCUAAAACUAUUUAGCUUGAGAAAUGGAAGGGAAAGUGGAAUUCCUAGUGUAGCGGUGGAAUGCGCAGAUAUUAGGAAGAAUACCGGUGGCGAAGGCGACUUUCUGGCCAUUAUCUGACGCUGAGGUACGAAAGCGUGGGUAGCAAACAGGAUUA